Trichechus manatus latirostris (Florida manatee) is the source of this 122-nucleotide small nucleolar RNA. RefSeq annotates it as small nucleolar RNA SNORA32. The record is from RefSeq and is a predicted model, not a curated record. The transcript has a single exon. NCBI's taxonomy places the organism in Eukaryota, Metazoa, Chordata, Mammalia, Sirenia, Trichechidae.
UGGUCAUUACCAAGGCUUUUAGAAUGCAGUUUCUGAUUUGCUGUGGACUUGACCAUAAAAAAACUUCCCACUAGGUUUUCUCUUUUGCUACCUUGCUAGCAUUCAACCGAUUGGGAACAUUU